GCCUGGGUGGCUCAGUUAGUUGAGCCUCUGACUUUGGCUCAGGUCACGAUCUCACGGUCUGUGGGUUCAAGCCCCGCAUCGGGCU
Molecule: transfer RNA, 85 nt
Filed under: Felis catus (domestic cat)
Lineage: Eukaryota; Metazoa; Chordata; Mammalia; Carnivora; Felidae
Rfam family: tRNA
About the family: Transfer RNA (tRNA) molecules are approximately 80 nucleotides in length.
Source: Rfam by way of RNAcentral